GUGCCAAAGAUCUGCUGGCAUCUGUUCAUUCAGCCACAUAUGAAGGGAUGGGUGGUUCUCUUGUGGCAUUUGAUGUGUGUGCCACGUAGAGGGGCUUGCUUCCCCUGAUUUCCAACCUCCUGAGACCUGAAAGAGAGAGAUCAGAGAAGAUAUGCGACAUAGCAGACAGAGAGGCAGGGUAGGGUGCUUCCACGUCUCCGGCGGCAGCGACGGUGGUUAAACCGUCAAAAUGGGUGAGAACAUGUUUCUCAAAAAGACCUUAGUGGCAUCAGAUGAAACAACGAGGGUGAUACAAAGGUAAAGAAAGACAGAGAUGGGAAGAGAAGAAAGAGCGAGAAAGAGAGAUCCGGAGUCAGCGAGUCUCCGGCGACUGGCCCCCGGUGCAUGCUCGCCUCCCACCCACAGAACGAAAGAUGUAGAAAUCCUCGAAGGUGUCGGAACGGGCCGUAGCAGACCGACAAAGAGGCCGAUGGUUGGGUUUAGCAGAUGAACGAUGGUGGUGGUGCAAGACUAGGUCAGCGACGGCUUAGGGUUUCCAUGUACAGUCGACAAACAAGCAACAGUGAGACGCAUCUCCCGUCCUCUUGCAGAACGGGCCAGAUCUGAUGAGGUACAGGUGACCGGUGGCGGUGAAAUGUGUCGGCUAGGGUUUCUAAGAUUCCGUGGCUGAUGGAGGAUAGCAACAAGAAGGCUGAAAUUGAUUUGCAUGAAUCGAAUGCUUCGUACGAACGCCGAAAGGAAGUAAGGCCUCCAAAUACAUCUAGCAGGGCGUUAGAGGUUCUUGAUCGGGCUCCAAAGAAGUUGACUUAUUUGCAGCUGAUUAGAAACCAAAUUCUUUCUUUAUAAGUUGUAACAAGGUAGUAAAGCAACAAUUUUUUUUUACCUUCGCGUUAUAAUGGUUGAACGUAAAUUAUGUUUAACCUAUAAAAACUUUCUGAGGGCCAAAUUGUUGAGAAAAGACUCGAGUGUUUGUACCAUGGCUGGAAGUCUGAGGGUGAGGGAAAAUAUACCAUGGAAUGGCCAACUGUGGUAGCUCUUAUUUUGCGGGAAUUUCAUAUAUGUCUUUCAUGCAAUUUAGUAAUGAGCCGACUUUGGAAUGCGAAAAGUGAUCGAUAUUGAGGUUUUGCUUUUCCUGAUUGUGAAUAGUCAAUACUCUGUGUAUUGGAAUUUGUAUUGUUACGAUCUUUUGGUUAAAUUGAUGCAGGUUAUUUUUUUGUUUUGUCUUUGCUGAAUUUUAUUAUGAUUUACAAGCAUUGAAUUUCUUCUUUUUCAUAGGAAAGCUGGAAGAGUUCACAGUGCUAAGAUCGAGAGUGACAAUUACCUUAUGCGAGCAAAGCUACAAGACACCAGGUAAAAAAACUCUUGCCACCUUCCAAAAUUUCAGAUACUUAGAGAAUAAGUUGUAUUACUUAAAUAAGUAUCCCCAUCAGAGCUGAUGUACAUUAGAACGUUGAUUGUUUGGAUGAUGACACACGAAUUAAAAACUGAGUUCGUUUAAGUGGUUAAACCUUAUAAAUUUAUAUAGAAAUAGAACAGGUCUGGUCAAUCCAAUGAAUUAAGGAAGCUUUUUUUUAAAUAAAGAAGUAUCUGACAAUCAAACGGGUUAAAGAUGCAUCUUUACAAAUAUAGUCUCACUAAUAUGAUGCGUUAUAGCUUCGCAACAAACACUAGAAGACCCUUGCCAAACUAGGGAUGAGGUGUACCGAAAAGGCUCGGUACGGUUUGGUACUGAUACUGAUACUGGUACGAUACUGGUUUGGCACCGGGUACCAUUCGCUCAUCCCUAGGCCAAACUACUCACACACAGGAAAGGACGAUUCAACUCAUAACAAAGGUUUCGCAAAGAAAUCGAACAACCUUCGAAACAUUGCACCAGCUUGACAAAUGAAAGGUACUCACAUUUUGUUGCUGAACAUUUUAAUACUUUAGCUGAUUCAUAUCUUCCAUUUCAAUAUGACACUUCUAUUGUUGUUAAACAUUUUGUCACAAUCUUUAAAGUUGUAAACUAAUGUAUUUGUAUCAAUUUGAUCUAGCAGGCAUUUACAACGUUCAUUUUACAUCUUGCAUUCACCUUUUAACAUUUGUACAGUAGAUUUUUCUGAGUUUGCGUUUGUGUGCCUAUACUGCUACAAGUCGAAGAAUUUCCGUUACAAUGAGCCGAAUCAAUUCCUACCUAACAAUUGUCUUCCCUUGAUGUAAAUCAAAUGUUGUAUUUUUUUAUUAUAUCACAAUUUUAUUUACUUAUUUUUUAUCAGUAGGUUAUUACAACUA
Long non-coding RNA from Helianthus annuus (common sunflower), 2271 nucleotides. RefSeq lists it as uncharacterized. The record is from RefSeq and is a predicted model, not a curated record. NCBI's taxonomy places the organism in Eukaryota, Viridiplantae, Streptophyta, Magnoliopsida, Asterales, Asteraceae. The transcript is spliced from 3 exons.